GGAUGGGUCAUAAGCCAUGCGAGUCAUUGUAGCAAUACAAAGGCGGACGGCUCAGUAACACGUAGUCACUUAAAAACGUGGACGUGGAUAACCUCGGGAAACUGAGAAUAACCCACGAUAGAUCAUAGUGCCUGGAAUGGCUUAUGGUCCAAACAGUUUACUGCCAUGGGAUGGGACUGCGGCCUAUCCGCUUGUUGGUGAGGUAAUGGCCCACCAAGGCGAUUACAGGUACGGGCUCUGAGAGGAGAAGCCCGGAGAUGGGUACUGAGACACGGACCCAGGCCCUAUGGGGCGCAGCAGGCGAGAAACCUUAGCAAUGUGCGAAAGCACGACUGGGUCAGUCCGAGUGAUUCCUGAUAAAGGAGUCUUUUGCUUGUCCUAAAAGCACAGGUGAAUAAGGGGUGGGCAAGUCUGGUGUCAGCCGCCGCGGUAAUACCAGCACCUCGAGUGGUCAGGACGUUUAUUGGGCCUAAAGCAUCCGUAGCCGGCUCUGCAAGUCUUCGGUUAAAUCCACCUGCUCAACAGAUGGGCCGCUGGAGAUACUACAGAGCUAGGGAGCGGGAGAGGCAGACGGUAUUCAGUGGGUAGGGGUAAAAUCCUCUGAUCCAUUGAGGAACACCAGUGCCGACGCGGUCUGAAGAUCACGUUCGACGGUGAAGGAUGAAAGCUGGGGGAGCAAACCGUAUAGAAUACCCGGGUAGUCCUAGCUGGUAAACGAUGCAAACUCCGGUGAUGCCUUUGCUUAUGGCCAAUGGCAGUGCCGAAGGGAAAGCCGUUUAAUUUUUGCCGGCCUGGGAAAGUCCGGGACGCCAGGUCUGAACUCCAAAGGAAUUUGACGGGAAUUC
Molecule: ribosomal RNA, 845 nt
Filed under: uncultured archaeon
Lineage: Archaea
Description: bacterial SSU rRNA
Rfam family: Archaeal small subunit ribosomal RNA
Source: RNAcentral